GACGAACGCUGGCGGCGUGCUUAACACAUGCAAGUCGAACGGAAAGGCCCUGCUUUUGUGGGGUGCUCGAGGGGCGAACGGGUGAGUAACACGUGAGUAACCUGCCCUUGACUUUGGGAUAACUUCAGGAAACUGGGGCUAAUACCGGAUAGGAUCUCUUGCUGCAUGGUGGGGGUUGGAAAGUUUCGCUGGUUGGGGAUGGACUCGCGGCCUAUCAGCUUGUUGGUGGGGUAGUGGCUUACCAAGGCUUUGCCGGGUAGCAGGGCUGAGAGGGUGACCGGCCACAUUGGGACUGAGAUACGGCACAGACUCGUACGGGAGGCAGCAGUGGGGAAUAGUGCACAAUGGGCGGAAGCCUGAUGUGGCAACGCAGCGUGCGGGAUGACGGCAUUCGGGUUGUAAACCAAUUUCGCCUGUGACGAAGCGUGAGUGACGGUAAUGGGUAAAGAAGCACCGGCUAACUACGUG
This 468-nucleotide ribosomal RNA is filed under the name uncultured bacterium. RNAcentral's name for it is "partial 16S ribosomal RNA". It matches the Rfam family "Bacterial small subunit ribosomal RNA", at positions 28 to 507 of the family's 1533-position model. The record is from RNAcentral.